CGCGUGCCGGCCAUCCCACGGCUCCCCUACCGGAUAAGGCCAAGCCAGACCCCCCCGCAAACCCUAGCGCCUCCGCCACUCCUCCCCCUUCUCCCUCACGCGUGCGCGCCUCUCCUCUCUCUCUCUCUCUCUCUCUCUCUCCAGUACGCUCCCGUCGCCGUGCGCUGGUCAAUCCCGCGGCCACCGGGCCCCUCCGGCCUCGCCGGUCUGUCCUGGAGCUCCAGCGCCGUCGUCCUCUUCGUCUGGUUCCACUGGACCGCGCUGGGGGCCGCCGGAGCACCCGCCUCGACUCCUUCUUCCUCCUCUGCUCCGUCGUCGCCGUCGCAGGGAACCGCCGCCUCCAGGGAGCCUUCCCCGAGCACAUCUUUGCACACCUGCAGGCGCGAUGGCAGUGCUAGGAGGAUUGAUUCGAUCCAAGGAAGAUGAAGACAAUCGGUAUAUGUAUGUUGCUGUUGCGGCUGCUGUCUUGUGCAACGUGGUUCCUGCAGGUGCAGGUUAAUAAGAUUCUGACUGUGGCUGGUUUCCAUGAUCCUUAAGUCCUCUAUAUAUAUUCUGUACUAGUACCCCCUCUGUAAACUAAUAUAAGAUCAUUCAGAUAACUAGUCAUCUAAAAUUGAUGUAUGUUUGGGUUUGAGACAUUCGAGUGUUUGCUCUUGGUUUGUAAUAGUAUUAAUGCUGCUAUAUUGCUGACCGUGCGGUCGCUAGUCGGGUUGCUAUUAGCUUGUUAUAGGCUUGAAUUCCAAUGAAAAAAAAAACAUGUGCUUGUUCUAAAA
This is a long non-coding RNA of Triticum dicoccoides, 773 nucleotides long. RefSeq lists it as uncharacterized. The record is from RefSeq and is a predicted model, not a curated record. The transcript is spliced from 2 exons. Lineage: Eukaryota; Viridiplantae; Streptophyta; Magnoliopsida; Poales; Poaceae.